UACGUAGGGUGCAAGCGUUAAUCGGAAUUACUGGGCGUAAAGCGUGCGCAGGCGGUUUUGUAAGUCAGAUGUGAAAUCCCCCGGGCUUAACCUGGGGAACUGCGUUUGAAACUACAAGGCUAGAGUGUGGCAGAGGGGGGUGGAAUUCCACGUGUAGCAGUGAAAUGCGUAGAGAUGUGGAGGAACACCGAUGGCGAAGGCAGCCCCCUGGGUUAACACUGACGCUCAGGCACGAAAGCGUGGGGAGCAAACAGG
Molecule: ribosomal RNA, 255 nt
Filed under: uncultured bacterium
Lineage: Bacteria
Description: partial 16S ribosomal RNA
Rfam family: Bacterial small subunit ribosomal RNA
Source: RNAcentral